This 30-nucleotide non-coding RNA is filed under the name Rattus norvegicus (Norway rat). Lineage: Eukaryota; Metazoa; Chordata; Mammalia; Rodentia; Muridae. The record is from RNAcentral.
UAAUCUCUGAAUUUCUAGUGCAGUGUGGGC